Molecule: ribosomal RNA, 503 nt
Filed under: Psora decipiens
Lineage: Eukaryota; Fungi; Ascomycota; Lecanoromycetes; Lecanorales; Psoraceae
Description: LSU rRNA
Rfam family: Eukaryotic large subunit ribosomal RNA
Source: RNAcentral
GAAGCGGCAACAGCUCAAAUUUGAAAUCUGACCCUUUAGGGUCCGAGUUGUAAUUUGCAGAGGGUGUUUCGGGCACGGUGCCGGUUUAAGUCCUUUGGAACAGGGUGUCAUAGAGGGUGAGAACCCCGUAUGUGACCGGUCGCCAAACCCAUGUGAAACCCCUUCGACGAGUCGAGUUGUUUGGGAAUGCAGCUCAAAAUGGGUGGUAAAUUUCAUCUAAAGCUAAAUAUUGGCCAGAGACCGAUAGCGCACAAGUAGAGUGAUCGAAAGAUGAAAAGCACUUUGGAAAGAGAGUCAAACAGCACGUGAAAUUGUUGAAAGGGAAGCGCUUGCGACCAGACUUGCUCGCGGGUGAUCAGCGGUGCUUUUCGCGCCGUGCACUCAUCCGCGAUCAGGCCAGCAUCGGUUCAGGCGGCCGGACAAAGACUCGGAGAAUGUAGCUCCCUCCGGGGAGUGUUAUAUCUCCUUGUGCAAUACGGCCAGCCGGGACCGAGGACCGCGCU